AGAGAAUGCAAUACCUCCAUAACCCAGGGGCUGUUAAAGGCAGUCUGGAAAGGCGGCCAGUUAAAACUAUCUAGUUCAAAAUACUACCUUAAGUUCUACAACAUACAUUCACAUUUAAAACAGUUUUGAUUAGUAACGAUCAGAUUGUAUCUUGUGGACCCUCCGAAAAUGAAGAUGACAGAAAAUCUAACCAUGUUGGACCUUCAAAAUAAUGACCUCCUUCAAUUUCCACCGAAGCAUGGUAAUUGUGUGAAUUUAAGAAUAUUACUACCAGAUAGAAAUCCAUUUCAUAUUCUUUGAGCAGCCAUACUAAUGAAAGGAACACCUGUUAUACUAGAAUAUUUGAGAACCUAAAUUCCC
This 360-nucleotide long non-coding RNA is filed under the name Homo sapiens (human). RNAcentral's name for it is "non-protein coding lnc-REEP3-5:1". Lineage: Eukaryota; Metazoa; Chordata; Mammalia; Primates; Hominidae. The record is from RNAcentral.